AUUGAACGCUGGCGGCAUGCUUUACACAUGCAAGUCGAACGGUAACAGGUUAAGCUGACGAGUGGCGAACGGGUGAGUAAUGCAUCGGAACGUGCCCGGUCGUGGGGGAUAACGCAGCGAAAGCUACGCUAAUACCGCAUACGAUCUGAGGAUGAAAGCGGGGGACCGUAAGGCCUCGCGCGAUUGGAGCGGCCGAUAUCAGAUUAGGUAGUUGGUGGGGUAAAGGCUCACCAAGCCGACGAUCUGUAGCUGGUCUGAGAGGACGACCAGCCACACUGGGACUGAGACACGGCCCAGACUCCUACGGGAGGCAGCAGUGGGGAAUUUUGGACAAUGGGCGCAAGCCUGAUCCAGCAAUGCCGCGUGCAGGAUGAAGGCCUUCGGGUUGUAAACUGCUUCUGUACGGAACGAAACGGCGAGCUCUAAUACAGUUUGCUAAUGACGGUACCGUAAGAAUAAGCACCGGCUAACUACGUGCCAGCCGCCGCGGUAA
This 493-nucleotide ribosomal RNA is filed under the name uncultured bacterium. RNAcentral describes it as "partial 16S ribosomal RNA". It matches the Rfam family "Bacterial small subunit ribosomal RNA", at positions 30 to 523 of the family's 1533-position model. The record is from RNAcentral.